AAAAGCUGUUUUGAGGACAUAUCUAAGACUUAACUCGACGAGUUAAGAACGAUGGUGCAACCAGAAUUUGUUGCUUGAACUUACUUUUGAAGAUAUAGGUUUCUAAAGUUUACGGUUUUACGUUCAUACGAAUGCGUGGAAUAUUGCUUUAUAAUGUCACGUGGAGGACCUCAAGUUUGGCAUUAUAAUUUAUUUAUGUUACUUUAAAAUACUGUUGUAGAUUAAACAUCAUUUCAACACGAAGAAGUGUUUAAUAUAAUGAUUUGGUAUUUUUAUAGCAUGAAAAAAAUGGUAAAGUUUUCAAAAUUAUUUUACAAAAUUACAAAAAAAAAAAAAAACGAAAUAUUAUUAAUUAUAUUUCUACUUUAUUGGGCACCCUAAAAAAGCCAAUGGCUAUAUAAGCCAUUAUUAGAAGUUAAACGUUUUUUGUAAUUUUUGCACUUUUUUUUAUCUCUGAGGCUAACCCAAGGUAUUUUACACGAGUACACGACAUGUCGAGGGAUAUUUUCGUUUUUUUUUUAUCCGAGAGCAGCACAGCAAGUGAGUUACAACAUGGGAAUCACUGCUCUAUAAUUUUAAUUUUCGCAUAAAAAAUAAUGUAGUCCCACAAAAAAAAAUUGACGAGUUUUAUUCUGUUAUUAUUCUUAAUUAUUUUUGAUAAAUUCUAAUUGCACCAUAGUUUUAAAUAGGUUAAAAUACCUAAUAAGUAUAGAAAAUUAUGAAAAGCAUGGGAAAUUACAGAGUAUACCUACGUAUAUUGGUUAUGCAUAAAAAACGCAAACGCAAAAUUUCUAAUUUCCAAACGCCAUAACUCCGAAACUAAGUCCAAGCAAAAAAUUCUGAUUGCACUAUCGUUCCUAACUCAUCAAGUUACAUAAGUUUCGAUAAAAAAAUCAAAUUGGCCAGGGGGAACUAAACUGCAUUUGUUCCACUAAUUGUUGUUUCACUAUCACUAACCUGAGCAUCCGUUUGCUUCACAUAAAUAUCUUUAAUGUUAUUAUUAUUACUGUAUUACUGCAACCAGUCACUGGAGUACUGCUACUAUACUACAAGAAGUAGAAAAACUUUACUUAAAAUUGUGUGUUUGAUCUCAAAUAAUUUGCAGAUUAUCACUUCUUAAUUAAGCAUUUUUUUUUUAUAUUGGUUAAGUGGGGACAACUGUUUUUUACUCAUGAUCAAAAAGAAUUAAGGAUAGAAAAAUAACAAAUAAAUUAUAUAAUAAGAUCGUACAGACGUGAGCAAUGCGACUGAAUCGACAUUCGAUAAAACCAACGGUAACAAUUUCUUUGAAAUUCGAAGCCUUAAAUAUUCUCGAAUCCCGAUAAACGGCGAUAAGAAAUUAUAAAAUAUAAAUAUCCUUUUGGCUGUUGGGGUACCCGUGUUGUUGGAUCUACCUCGACAUUUUUCGUGAGCACGGCAUACCAUUAUAAUUGUGUAAGAAUACUGAUAAGGAGAUGAUAAGAAUAAAAUAUUUAAAUUUUAAAUUUAGUGCUGUGUUACCUAACCACGGUAACCAGAUUUAACCAAUGUGAAACGUUUUGAAGACCGUUCGUAGCGAACGUUUAUCCUUGAAAAAUUUUCCACUGUAGGCACGUGCCUACCUACGUAAUGUCUGCAUUUAAAUACGCCACUGUGUAAAUAAUCGAGUAUACAGGCAUAAGUACUCCUAUUUGACAACUUUUAAUCACAUUUUGACAUGCCAUUUGUGAAAAAACUAUACUAUAGUCCAGUGGUUUCCAACCUCUUCUAUUCUACGCCCCUCUUUGUAGAUUUUCAAAAAUCUCGCGCCCCUCUUAUAAAUUGAAAAAAAUUGAUCACCUCUUUUGGUGUACUUUACAAAUAAACUAUAAAAUAUUCGGAAUGACAACUUCUUUAUUGAUGAUAAUAAUUAUGAAAUAUAUAUAAUAGUAAAUAAUAAAAUGUAACAAUCAAUUAAGGUGAAAUAUUAUAGUAAUAAAUUAGUAUAAAAUAUUAAUAAUAGUAAUAAUUAAAUAAAAACUGUAUUUUGUAAUAACUGCUUGCGCCUCCCCAACAACGUGUACACGCCCCCCAGUUUGGUAAUCAGUCUAUACUCUACAAUUACUAAUAAAUAAUAAGUAACAGGGAAUAUCCGAAUGCCUAUAAUGAUUUGAUCAAAAUCGAUCCCAAUUUACAAAUUAUAAAUUUCUGAAUUCCGUAUACUUCCAUGAAUACUUUUCCAAAUAAAAUUAAUACAUUUACAAGUAUGAAAAUUGUUUCUGUAAAUAUUAACGUAGCUUCGAUAAUAAUCUAAGGAAAAUAAAUUGGUAUAAUAAUUGAAUUUUAUAGGGAGUUUUGACGAAGAAAACAUAAAUAUUAUAAUUUAAUUUACUAGAAAAUCAAAAUA
Long non-coding RNA from Aphis gossypii (cotton aphid), 2365 nucleotides. RefSeq lists it as uncharacterized. The record is from RefSeq and is a predicted model, not a curated record. The transcript is spliced from 3 exons. NCBI's taxonomy places the organism in Eukaryota, Metazoa, Arthropoda, Insecta, Hemiptera, Aphididae.